Molecule: ribosomal RNA, 449 nt
Filed under: uncultured Thauera sp.
Lineage: Bacteria; Pseudomonadati; Pseudomonadota; Betaproteobacteria; Rhodocyclales; Zoogloeaceae
Description: bacterial SSU rRNA
Rfam family: Bacterial small subunit ribosomal RNA
Source: RNAcentral
CGGUGGAUGAUGUGGAUUAAUCGAUGCAACGCGAAAACCUUACCUACCCUUGACAUGUCUGGAAUCUUGGUGAGAGCCGAGGGUGCCUUCGGGAGCCGGAACACAGGUGCUACAUGGCUGUCGUCAGCUCGUGUCGUGAGAUGUUGGGUUAAGUCCCGCAACGAGCGCAACCCUUGUCAUUAGUUGCCAUCAUUUGGUUGGGCACUCUAAUGAGACUGCCGGUGACAAACCGGAGGAAGGUGGGGAUGACGUCAAGUCCUCAUGGCCCUUAUGGGUAGGGCUUCACACGUCAUACAAUGGUCGGUACAGAGGGUUGCCAACCCGCGAGGGGGAGCUAAUCCCACAAAGCCGAUCGUAGUCCGGAUCGCAGUCUGCAACUCGACUGCGUGAAGUCGGAAUCGCUAGUAAUCGCGGAUCAGCAUGUCGCGGUGAAUACGUUCCCGGGUCUU